AGUGAACGCUGGCGGUAGGCCUAACACAUGCAAGUCGAACGGCAGCACAGUAAGAGCUUGCUCUUACGGGUGGCGAGUGGCGGACGGGUGAGGAAUACAUCGGAAUCUACUUUUUCGUGGGGGAUAACGUAGGGAAACUUACGCUAAUACCGCAUACGACCUACGGGUGAAAGCAGGGGAUCUUCGGACCUUGCGCGAAUGAAUGAGCCGAUGUCGGAUUAGCUAGUUGGCGGGGUAAAGGCCCACCAAGGCGACGAUCCGUAGCUGGUCUGAGAGGAGGAUCAGCCACACUGGAACUGAGACACGGUCCAGACUCCUACGGGAGGCAGAAGUGGGGAAUAUUGGACAAUGGGCGCAAGCCUGAUCCAGCCAUACCGCGCGGGUGAAGAAGGCCUUCGGGUGUUAAAGCCCUUUUGUUGGGAAAGAAAAGCAGCAGGGUAAUACCCCGAUGUUCUGACGGUACCCAAAGAAUAAGCACCGGCUAACUUCGUG
RNAcentral lists this ribosomal RNA (492 nucleotides) under uncultured bacterium. RNAcentral describes it as "partial 16S ribosomal RNA". It matches the Rfam family "Bacterial small subunit ribosomal RNA", at positions 29 to 507 of the family's 1533-position model. The record is from RNAcentral.